Alosa sapidissima (American shad) is the source of this 1501-nucleotide long non-coding RNA. RefSeq lists it as uncharacterized. The record is from RefSeq and is a predicted model, not a curated record. NCBI's taxonomy places the organism in Eukaryota, Metazoa, Chordata, Actinopteri, Clupeiformes, Clupeidae. The transcript is spliced from 3 exons.
UAAUGCAAUGGUGCAGAACAGAGAGACUCCAACAGAGGAUGCGGUGGAGAGCGUAGAGCGACCAGAGGAUGCAAUGGUGGAAAAUGUAGAGCGACUAAUCGAUGAUGCAACAGUGGAGAACAGAGAGCAACCCUGUCCUGAUUCUGUCAUCCCAGAGCAUUUUGGUGCUUUUGACAAUUCAGUGUCAUUGUACUCCGGCUUUGACAACAGCACCCUCACCUCUCCACAGCACCCUACUAUGUCCCAGACUUGUGACUGUACCAUACAAACAACUUUGAAUGUACCAGAUUUUCCAAGUGAUCCUGCAGAUGGCCCCUCUGCAUCACACCAACCUGAGGAUGACUCCUGCCAGGACAUUCUGACCAGACAAGCUACUGCUAUUGUGUUGACUGCAAGAGAAAGACACCAUCUUUCACAGCUGGUGUGAAUGAUGUUGUUGCGGCAAUGCAACAGUACCAAGCUUUGUUGGUAACCAAUCUGAGGAGUCAGCUACAAAGAGUAUUCCAACAACAUCAGGGAAGUGAACUUGAAAAGGAGGCUCUGGCAGUAUUUGACCGGUUGGAGGAUCCGUUUGCUUCUGUUUCAACAACGUACAGGUAGGACUGUGUGAUUAAGGACUAUUUCCAUUUUGUAGAAUCAGAGGAAGUUACUGUUGGUAUACUGCUUGCUUUCUAAAAAAAGGAGCAAAAAGAGUCCUCUCUACCAUACCCAAAUGUUUUCAGUAUGUUCCUCUGAUCAAAAGUCUGGAGCAGUUAUUGCCCCAUCCAAAAGUCCUGGCAAUGAUGGAUGAGCUACAGAAAUACAGAAUGGGAAUGGUGAAUGUGAAAUAUUUGGAGCAUUAGUUUCAAUAUGUGGGGACACUUUAGCUCAGCAUGAGCUUUGUGGUUUUAAAGAGGGUGUUGGUUUUGCUUUCAAGAAAUGUAGGCAGUGUGAAUGUACAUUUGAGGACAUGCAAUUGUAUUUUGAUGAGGAAGAAAGAACAAUACAGAGACAUAUGCGGCAUGAUGAUAUUGAGAAUGCCAAUACUGAGUAUCUCAGAAACAGUUUAAAAACUACAUUUGGGAUCAACAGAAGGAGUAAACUGGUAGAAUUCCCGGCUUUUAACUUGAUCCAACAAACACCCCAAGACAUCAUGCACGUAAUUUUGGAAGGCAUUGCCCCAUUAGAAAUAAAAUGUGUGAUGAAACACUUAAUACUUUUAGGACAACUUGACUUGGAUGUUCUCAACAGUGCAUUACUUGCAUUUCCCACUUGAUGUCAGAGAUAAACCAAGCCCUAUAAGCUACAACACAUUAGCUUCCAGUGACAAUAAAUUAAAGCAGUCCUCAGGCCAAAUGCUGGUUCUACUUUAAAAUUCUGCCAUUUCUGAUUGAUGCAGUUAAAGGUAAUGAGUAUCACACAGUCAUUCUUGAGCUGAUAGAGAUAGUUCAAAUUUUGUUUGCUCCUGUUAUUGGUCUACAGACUAUCAACAAAUUGAAAACACUCAUUGAACAGCACCUAC